CCAGAGAACUUAGCAGAGAUGCUUUGGUGCCUUCGGGAACUCUGAGACAGGUGCUGCAUGGCUGUCGUCAGCUCGUGUUGUGAAAUGUUGGGUUAAGUCCCGCAACGAGCGCAACCCUUAUCCUUUGUUGCCAGCGGCUCGGCCGGGAACUCAAAGGAGACUGCCGGUGAUAAACCGGAGGAAGGUGGGGAUGACGUCAAGUCAUCAUGGCCCUUACGGCCAGGGCUACACACGUGCUACAAUGGCGCAUACAAAGAGAAGCGACCUCGCGAGAGCAAGCGGACCUCAUAAAGUGCGUCGUAGUCCGGAUUGGAGUCUGCAACUCGACUCCAUGAAGUCGGAAUCGCUAGUAAUCGUAGAUCAGAAUGCUACGGUGAAUACGUUCCCGGGCCUUGUACACACCGCCCGUCACACCAUGGGAGUGGGUUGCAAAAGAAGUAGGUAGCUUAACUUUCGGGAGGGCGCUUACCACUUUGUGAUUCAUGACUGGGGUGAAGUCGUAACAAGGUAGGCGUAGCGAG
Molecule: ribosomal RNA, 521 nt
Filed under: uncultured bacterium
Lineage: Bacteria
Description: bacterial SSU rRNA
Rfam family: Bacterial small subunit ribosomal RNA
Source: RNAcentral